This 479-nucleotide ribosomal RNA is filed under the name uncultured bacterium. RNAcentral's name for it is "bacterial SSU rRNA". It matches the Rfam family "Bacterial small subunit ribosomal RNA", at positions 56 to 518 of the family's 1533-position model. The record is from RNAcentral.
UGCAAGUCGAACGCGAAAGGGACUCGGUCCUGAGUAAAGUGGCGCACGGGUGAGUAACGCGUGGAUAAUCUGCCCUUAUGAUCGGGAUAACAGUUGGAAACGGCUGCUAAUACCGGAUACGCUCAAAAUGAACUUUUUGAGGAAAGAUGGCCUCUGCUUGCAUGCUAUCACGUAAGGAUGAGUCCGCGUCCCAUUAGCUUGUUGGCGGGUAACGGCCCACCAAGGCAACGAUGGGUAGCCGAUUUGAGAGGAUGAUCGGCCACACUGGAACUGAAACACGGUCCAGACUCCUACGGGAGGCAGCAGUGGGGAAUAUUGCGCAAUGGGCGAAAGCCUGACGCAGCGACGCCGCGUGAGGGAUUGAAGGUUUUUCGGAUCGUAAACCUCUGUCAGAAGGGAAGAAACUACGUUGUGCUAAUCAGCAGCGUACUGACGGUACCUUCAAAGGAAGCACCGGCUAACUCCGUGCCAGCCGCAGC